GCCGGGUUAGCUCAGCGGUAGAGCAGCGGUUUUGUAAACCGUUGGUCGGGAGUUCAAUCCUCUCACCCGGCACCA
This 75-nucleotide transfer RNA is filed under the name Alphaproteobacteria bacterium. RNAcentral's name for it is "tRNA-Thr". It matches the Rfam family "tRNA". From Rfam's summary of the family: Transfer RNA (tRNA) molecules are approximately 80 nucleotides in length. The record is from RNAcentral. RNAcentral also lists the same sequence under 7 other names. Lineage: Bacteria; Pseudomonadati; Pseudomonadota; Alphaproteobacteria.